Molecule: long non-coding RNA, 583 nt
Organism: Chiroxiphia lanceolata (lance-tailed manakin)
Lineage: Eukaryota; Metazoa; Chordata; Aves; Passeriformes; Pipridae
Exons: 2
Source: RefSeq, a predicted model, not a curated record
CCGAUGGAGUGGGGACCAAAAGCAGAGUUGGAUUUUACAGAAGCUUGGUUCAGUUCCUAAAAGAAAACUCGGGUCAGGUUGCUGGGUCACUCUCUUGAGGACAGGCCAGCUGCAUGAGUUUGGGAGACUUUAACAACAAAAUCCUGAAGAAAGGUCUAAGGAGUGUUGGUCCAAACACAAUUCCUAAGCUUUGUGUUGACAUAAGAUUCACGGAUUCCUUGGCUGCUAUCCUGUUGACAAAAGGAAAGAAUUGGUUAAAAAAGAAGGAUGUCAGAGGAGUCACUGUUGCUCUUGAAGUACAUAGAGGCACUUUUUAACUGAUUCUCCUAGCAGGGAUGUUUGUUUGGUUAACUUAUCAAAAAGAAAGAAAACGGGGAGGCAAGAGAAAGUUCCACCAGUGUGGCAAACAAGGAAAGGAGAGUUUUUGUGGUGCCAGGGAGAAGAUUCCCUGCUUCCUUUAACAUGGUCUCCAGCACUGAAAGAGUUGUGGAAACCAAAAGAAAGCCCCUUAAUGUAGAGCUCAUAUGAAACACAUUCCUUCUGCUAAUUUAAAUCCAAUAAAGUGAGUAUGGUCUGAAAUGGA